This 1194-nucleotide long non-coding RNA is filed under the name Salmo trutta (river trout). RNAcentral describes it as "lncRNA (ENSSTUG00000044795.1)". Lineage: Eukaryota; Metazoa; Chordata; Actinopteri; Salmoniformes; Salmonidae. The record is from RNAcentral.
AUGUCUAAAUCAUUUUUGUUAAUGAAAGCUAUUUACUAUAGUGGUAGAAUAGCAAUGCUGGUGGUGUAUAGGCUAGUUAUCCCAUACAGUCAUAGUGGUAGAAUAGCAAUGCUGGUGGUGUAUAGGCUAGUUAUCCCAUACAGUCAUAGUGGUAGAAUAGCAAUGCUGGUGGUGUAUAGGCUAGUUAUCCCAUACAGUCAUAGUGGUAGAAUAGCAAUGCUGGUGGUGUAUAGGCUAGUUAUCCCAUACAGUCAUAGUGGUAGAAUAGCAAUGCUGGUGGUGUAUAGGCUAGUUAUCCCAUACAGUCAUAGUGGUAGAAUAGCAAUGCUGGUGGUGUAUAGGCUAGUUAUCCCAUACAGUCAUAGUGGUAGAAUAGCAAUGCUGGUGGUGUAUAGGCUAGUUAUCCCAUACAGUCAUAGUGGUAGAAUAGCAAUGCUGGUGGUGUAUAGGCUAGUUAUCCCAUACAGUCAUAGUGGUAGAAUAGCAAUGCUGGUGGUGUAUAGGCUAGUUAUCCCACACAGUCAUAGUGGUAGAAUAGCAAUGCUGGUGGUGUAUAGGCUAGUUAUCCCAUACAGUCAUAGUGGUAGAAUAGCAAUGCUGGUGGUGUAUAGGCUAGUUAUCCCACACAGUCAUAGUGGUAGAAUAGCAAUGCUGGUGGUGUAUAGGCUAGUUAUCCCACACAGUCAUAGUGGUAGAAUAGCAAUGCUGGUGGUGUAUAGGCUAGUUAUCCCACACAGUCAUAGUGGUAGAAUAGCAAUGCUGGUGGUGUAUAGGCUAGUUAUCCCACACAGUCAUAGUGGUAGAAUAGCAAUGCUGGUGGUGUAUAGGCUAGUUAUCCCAUACAGUCAUAGUGGUAGAAUAGCAAUGCUGGUGGUGUAUAGGCUAGUUAUCCCAUACAGUCAUAGUGGUAGAAUAGCAAUGCUGGUGGUGUAUAGGCUAGUUAUCCCAUACAGUCAUAGUGGUAGAAUAGCAAUGCUGGUGGUGUAUAGGCUAGUUAUCCCAUACAGUCAUAGUGGUAGAAUAGCAAUGCUGGUGGUGUAUAGGCUAGUUAUCCCAUACAGUCAUAGUGGUAGAAUAGCAAUGCUGGUGGUGUAUAGGCUAGUUAUCCCAUACAGUCAUAGUGGUAGAAUAGCAAUGCUGGUGGUGUAUAGGCUAGUUAUCCCAUACAGUAAAGCCUUUGAUCUUUCCUCUUGA